This 264-nucleotide long non-coding RNA is filed under the name Vigna radiata. RNAcentral describes it as "long non-coding RNA (VRAD_LNC005194)". Lineage: Eukaryota; Viridiplantae; Streptophyta; Magnoliopsida; Fabales; Fabaceae. The record is from RNAcentral.
GGGGAAGUUAUUAUUAAAAAGGAAGCAUGAGUAACAAUUGUGAAUUGGUGUUGGUUGAUGUGAUGCAUUCUUAUAUUUAUGUCAUCUAUAAAAGAAAAAGAAAGAGAAAAAUAGAAAAAUAAAAAGAAAAAGAAAAUAUAUGAAUAAGAUGAUUGCAAGUUGGUGUUUGGUUGCUCUAGUUUUCAGACAAAAGAGAAUAUAAUGAUAAAACUGUAAACAUGACGUGAUUGCUCUCUUUGCUCAUUCACAUUACCUAGAUACACC